CGCUCAUGCAUGGAGCCAUGCAACGUCCCCAUGAGAUCCGGCCUCCACUCCUCAACUCCGUGCGCACGCACGAUCUGCAUGUACAACCGCAUCCACGACGCGUCCGACGUGUAUGAUACGGCCUGCUCCAACGGAUCGCAGCGGCCCUUCGCUAGUCACGCCACCAAUCUAGCUACAGCCACGAGUGUGACUUACACACACGUCACACGUACACACACCGUCAUGACCCAGCCCGCGGAUCCGACCUGACGCACCGACGUCGGUCGCACCGUCACGGACCCGACCUGGCGCACUGACGCCGGUCGCACCGUGCUCCGUCACGACUUAUUU
RNAcentral lists this long non-coding RNA (330 nucleotides) under Hordeum vulgare. RNAcentral's name for it is "long non-coding RNA (HVUL_LNC006611)". The record is from RNAcentral. Lineage: Eukaryota; Viridiplantae; Streptophyta; Magnoliopsida; Poales; Poaceae.